AAGUCGUAACAAGGUUUCCGUAGGUGAACCUGCGGAAGGAUCAUUAACAAAUCAUGUGUUGUGUCUGUGCUGCUUGAAAGGGCGCACACGACACACAUUAACCCGAACCUGGCUUCGGCCGGGUAAGGUGGGUCUCUCUGAUGUGUGUCCUUUGAUUCGAAAGAUGACGAGGGUGCGAAGGGGAGACUUGGAGUAUGUGUGUGCUGUGCUUAUGGUUCUCUGAACUUGUGGCGCACGCACGCAUUCACCACAUAGACGCUUGUACAAGUUUGACAGAGUUUUAUGACCAAUUAAAAAGAUACAACUUUUAACAAUGGAUCUCUUGGCUCUU
RNAcentral lists this unclassified non-coding RNA (331 nucleotides) under fungal sp. RNAcentral's name for it is "partial internal transcribed spacer region". The stretch from base 1 to 46 matches the Rfam family "Eukaryotic small subunit ribosomal RNA", at positions 1786 to 1831 of the family's 1831-position model. The record is from RNAcentral. Lineage: Eukaryota; Fungi.